This 519-nucleotide ribosomal RNA is filed under the name uncultured bacterium. RNAcentral describes it as "bacterial SSU rRNA". It matches the Rfam family "Bacterial small subunit ribosomal RNA", at positions 8 to 518 of the family's 1533-position model. The record is from RNAcentral.
AGAGUUUGAUCCUGGCUUAGGAUGAACGCUAGCUACAGGCUUAACACAUGCAAGUCGAGGGGCAGCAGGGAGAAGCUUGCUUUCUUGCUGGCGACCGGCGCACGGGUGAGUAACGCGUAUCCAACCUUCCCCUUAGUAGGGCAUAGCCCGGCGAAAGUCGGAUUAAUACCCUAUGUUAUCCGAAGAGGACAUCUGAAUUGGAUUAAAGAUUUAUCGCUAAGGGAUGGGGAUGCGUCUGAUUAGGUAGUCGGCGGGGUAACGGCCCACCGAGCCUACGAUCAGUAGGGGUUCUGAGAGGAAGGUCCCCCACAUUGGUACUGAGACACGGACCAAACUCCUACGGGAGGCAGCAGUGAGGAAUAUUGGUCAAUGGGCGUAAGCCUGAACCAGCCAAGUAGCGUGCAGGAUGACGGCCCUAUGGGUUGUAAACUGCUUUUAUGCGGGGAUAAAGUGCGGCACGUGUGCCGUUUUGUAGGUACCGCAUGAAUAAGGACCGGCUAAUUCCGUGCCAGCCGCAGC